This 726-nucleotide ribosomal RNA is filed under the name Triticum aestivum (bread wheat). Its description in RNAcentral is "partial small subunit ribosomal RNA". Lineage: Eukaryota; Viridiplantae; Streptophyta; Magnoliopsida; Poales; Poaceae. The record is from RNAcentral.
GCAGGACGCCGUGUUCUAGUUCGCUGUGUGCUAUCUGCCAUGCCUUCCUUUGCGUUCACGAUGCUGUGGAUCCCAAAGAGGUUCAUAAAGGAGAUCGACAAGGCAAGACGGCGAUUCCUCUGGGCGGGCGACGAAGAAAUCUCGAGCGGCAAAUGCAAGGUUGGAUGGGCAUCAGUCACCAAGCCGGAGUAGCUGGGCGGGCUAGGCAUCCCCGACCUCAGCCGCUUCACCCGGGCCCUACGGUUGCGCUGGUUGUGGCUAUCCUGGAGGCAGCCAACCAGGCCUUGGGUAGGAACCGGGACGCCGUGCGACGUAGCCGACCGGGCUCUUUUUGCGGCCUCCACGGCGGUGACCAUCGGAAAUAAGACUAGUGCAUCUUUCUGGUCGUCUUCAUGGCUAGGAGGGCGGCAGUUGUGCUUGGCAUACCCCGAUCUGUUUGCCCGAUCCAUCCGCAAGAACAGAAGCGUAAAGGCAGCUCUGACAGCCGAUCGAUGGAUCCUAGACCUCCGCAACAACGGCGACUGCAACACCAUUGUCCAUCAAGUCGUGCAGCUGGCACGAGAGAUCAGAGGGGCCCAAAUCAACCUGGAGCCUCAGGACCCGGACACGAUCAAAUGGAAGCUCUGUAGCUCGGGCAACUACUCGGCAAGGUCGGCGUAUAACACACAAUUCGACAGAAUCAGCCAUGCAGCUUCAAAAUUAUCAUUUGGAAGAUCUGGGCUCUAG